GACGAACGCUGGCGGCGUGCUUAACACAUGCAAGUCGAACGAAGUGGCGAACGGGUAUAUAAUACGAGGGUAACCUUCCCUCCUUUUUGGGAUAAGCCUUGGAAACGUGAUCUAAUACCGACUAAGGGGGUAUGGGCUCGCAGCCUAUCGGCUUGUUGGUGGGGUGCUGGCCUACCAAGGCGGUGACGGUGUGCCGGCCUGAGAGGGGGACCGGCGACGUGGGGACUGAGAUACGGGCGAGACUACUACGGGACGCAGCAGUGGCGGAUAUUGCACAAUGGGCGAAAGGCUGAUGCGGGGACGCCGUGUGGUGGAUGAAGGCUUUGGGGUUGGAAACCUCUUUCGCCAUCGAAUGGGUAGGUGGAGAAGAAGCGCCGGCUAACUCCGUGCCAGCAGCCGCGGUAAUUC
This 408-nucleotide ribosomal RNA is filed under the name uncultured bacterium. Its description in RNAcentral is "partial 16S ribosomal RNA". It matches the Rfam family "Bacterial small subunit ribosomal RNA", at positions 28 to 526 of the family's 1533-position model. The record is from RNAcentral.